Molecule: long non-coding RNA, 851 nt
Organism: Plutella xylostella (diamondback moth)
Lineage: Eukaryota; Metazoa; Arthropoda; Insecta; Lepidoptera; Plutellidae
Source: RefSeq, a predicted model, not a curated record
CGACCAGUAGGCCUACUCUUGGCACGCAAGACGUAAAUUCAUAUUGUGUUAAGAUCGAACACAAGUUUAUGGCAAUUUCAAGUUAGAUUUGGCACUCCCGACAUGAAUUGGCUCACGAUCGUGUUCUAAUUCGAAUUGGUUCUAACUUGUGUUGGAUUGUGAGUCAAUUUUGACAGUUACUCUGUGAAAGAAUGAAUGAAAACGAAAAAAAAAACAAAUUGUCAUUAAAAUUCUUGUUGUCAUGGCCGGUCGGUGGAUUUUCAUAAUAAGUAACAACUUAAAAAGUUUAAAAUCCAAUAUUAUGAGUUCCGCAACUCGGCCGUCGUACCGCCAGACGAAAUUACUUGUAGAAUAUCUAGAAAGUUACCCAGGAAUGGCCAGGGAUCUUCUUAAGACCGACCUAGGGAAGUUAAAAUUAUGAGAAAAUAACAUCAAUGGCCUCGACCUUAAAUGCGGUCGAAGGGUCUUGAAAAGAUGGACUUAACGUAAAACUGAGGACUGCCGUGGUAAAUGGCAGGAUCAUAACAUACUUAAAGUCGAGGUGCAGCAUCCUAAGCUUAUCCUAAACUAUCAAGCCGCUCAGCUCAUCCUCACAGCACCUCACAGCAUAGAUGCAGCCGCCGCUACAAAGUUGAUGUAGAAGUAGACAGAGUGAUGGCCAUAGAGGAAAAGCAGGGAUAGGCCGAACUGCUGACAGCAUGGGCUAAUGCCCUAAAGCCUAAAGGGGACCUUGCAGCAGCUGCCCGUGAUGGAGUCAAUAUCCUCAUAGAAAUUGCGCAACAGCUAUCAAGAAAUACAAAGUUAAGGGCAUCUAGACCCAUAACCAUUGUCAGUACUUAUGGGUCCAGAUG